RNAcentral lists this long non-coding RNA (992 nucleotides) under Solanum tuberosum (potato). RNAcentral describes it as "long non-coding RNA (STUB_LNC007808)". The record is from RNAcentral. Lineage: Eukaryota; Viridiplantae; Streptophyta; Magnoliopsida; Solanales; Solanaceae.
CUUUCUCUAAAGCUUCUCAUAUAAUCAGUGUAGACUUGAAUUGGUGUUCUUCCUCUAAGUACUGGUAAUUGAUCACAACCUAAAGAAAUGUACUCAGGAUUUCUCCUGCCUGAUCUAUCUGUAUACACAAGAUCUGGGUUUUUGCUAAUUUCUUCAAGUACCCAUGGAGGUAGAGGGAUGCUGCAAAAAUAAAUUCACAAUUUUAAGAUUAAUCAGUGGCGGAGCAACACAUGAUGCGGAAGGGUGGUCAGUUGAACAUCCUUUGUCAAUUUUUUUUACUAGUAUAUAUAAAAGUAUAUUGUGUAUUUACUUGUUUCAAGUUAAUAGACUGAAGGGAGGUCAGUUGAACUUGUAUAUAGAAAAGUAUAUCGUGUAUAUUGGUCCAAAGUUACUUUUUACAUAUAUAUUUAUUAAAUCUCAAACACCUGUGACGAAAUUUCUAACUUCAGUACUACACUUGAUCAUAAAAAAAACCUUGAACAACUAUGGUACGUAGAUUAUAUAAAAAUGAUACAUUUUGAGAUUUUGGAAGAUGUGGCAAUAGUAGGAUAGGGUUUUGGCCAUAGCCCAUAGGUAUAAUUCUAUCAACAAUUUCAAAAAGAAAACUAAUUGUUGAAAAUAGAACAAAACAAUAGAUAUAAAGAGAAUGUAAGAACUAAUGGUAUGUAUAGUAUAUAUUAGUUUUCAAGAAACACAAACAAAAAAUUGCUAAAUAUUUGAACUCUAGAAAAUCAAUAAACAUUAGUGUUUUUUUAAAAAUAAUAAUCAAUUCCACUAUUAAUAUUCAAGAAAGUAUAUGGUCAUUAAUGACUCAUUCAGGUAAUAGAUAAAGGGGUAUACAGUCAAAUAGUACCUCUAAUGAUUAAUUGAUGCUAUCAAAUCGUUUUCUUAACAGGUGUAUCAGAACAUUAAACGAUAGAUAUCAGAACAUUAAACGAUAGAUAAAAAUGACAGAAGAGGUUGAUAAUACCUGCAGGAAUCUCCGACGUUAC